CCCUACGGGGGAAAGCAGGGGAUCGCAAGACCUUGCACUAUUGGAGCGGCCGAUAUCGGAUUAGCUAGUUGGUGGGGUAACGGCUCACCAAGGCGACGAUCCGUAGCUGGUUUGAGAGGACGACCAGCCACACUGGGACUGAGACACGGCCCAGACUCCUACGGGAGGCAGCAGUGGGGAAUUUUGGACAAUGGGGGAAACCCUGAUCCAGCCAUCCCGCGUGUGCGAUGAAGGCCUUCGGGUUGUAAAGCACUUUUGGCAGGAAAGAAACGUCAUGGGUUA
This 282-nucleotide ribosomal RNA is filed under the name Achromobacter sp. enrichment culture clone CH2_3_2. RNAcentral describes it as "partial 16S ribosomal RNA". It matches the Rfam family "Bacterial small subunit ribosomal RNA", at positions 192 to 462 of the family's 1533-position model. Lineage: Bacteria; Pseudomonadati; Pseudomonadota; Betaproteobacteria; Burkholderiales; Alcaligenaceae. The record is from RNAcentral.